This is a regulatory RNA element of Vagococcus teuberi, 178 nucleotides long. It matches the Rfam family "Lysine riboswitch aptamer". From Rfam's summary of the family: Riboswitches are metabolite binding domains within certain messenger RNAs that serve as precision sensors for their corresponding targets. Allosteric rearrangement of mRNA structure is mediated by ligand binding, and this results in modulation of gene expression. NCBI's taxonomy places the organism in Bacteria, Bacillati, Bacillota, Bacilli, Lactobacillales, Enterococcaceae. The record is from Rfam.
AGUUAGAGAUGAGGCGCAUUGAUCAUUAUUAGAUAAGGUUUGGAAUCUGCAAGAUACCUUAUUGAAAGGGUGAUAUGCCGAAAUGUAUAUGUUAUUGCAGUAGCAUAUGCGUUGGAUUUGUAGUUAAUAGCUAUAAGUCUGUCAUUAUUUUCAAAAAUAAUGGGGUGCAUCGCUUGUA